Molecule: non-coding RNA, 281 nt
Organism: Camellia sinensis
Lineage: Eukaryota; Viridiplantae; Streptophyta; Magnoliopsida; Ericales; Theaceae
Source: RefSeq, a predicted model, not a curated record
UAAAAUCGGGUGUCAAUAAGAAAGGAGAUGCUAUUGGACAGUUAAAAACAUCCAAACCAGCUGAACCUGAAGACGUUGAGGAAUGGUGAUUGACACUUUGUUAUUCCUUUUCAUGCAUGUGGGGGACUCCAAAACUUGUGCAGAAAAUGCCUACCAUACAGCUGUGGAAGGAUGGCAAGAAACAGGCAGAUGCAUCCUACUGGACCGAAAGCUGGUGGUUCUCCAUGAAAACAAUAUCGGUUAUUGUGUAAUACAUUGGCAUGAAAACAAUAUCGGUUACU